Pectinophora gossypiella (pink bollworm) is the source of this 684-nucleotide long non-coding RNA. RefSeq lists it as uncharacterized. The record is from RefSeq and is a predicted model, not a curated record. The transcript is spliced from 3 exons. Lineage: Eukaryota; Metazoa; Arthropoda; Insecta; Lepidoptera; Gelechiidae.
UAGUAUAAAGGUAGGACCUUAUGUUGUGUUUUGUAGUAACUCAAAUUCUUUUAUAUGAAGGUAGCUGAGUCAGAUAUGAAUGCAUGUUAUUGAGGGCAUGUAAAUAAAGAAUAAUACUAACUUAAUAUACUACAUAUAUACUUAAUAACAAUACAAAUAGGUUAUAAUUAUGUCACUAUGGUAUAUGAGAAAGUCAAGUAAAUAUCUAAGUAAUAGGGCAAUGGGAUGUGAGAUAUUAUAAGUAUUUAUAGUUUAAAAACAGUCAAAUCAACGCCAAGCAAACCUAAACUUAAUGACACUGAUUAAAGCUUAUAAUUAAACAAGAGAGACUUACAAGAAGAUUGUGUUUAAUAUGACUACAGAAUAGUGGGAAUCAUAAUGGAAGGAAGACAAAAUAAGAUGCAACGUACGGGUUUUAGCUACAAUAAUUAGUAAGAUUGAAGACUUCUUGACGAUGUUUAUAAUGUAUCCUAUAAAAUAUUCACUCGCCAGAAUCGUCCAAAGAUCCAGUAGAGACAGAUAUCUACUCCAAACCUGGAAUCUGUUACAGAAUAUUAAAGAAAAUUAUGGGAAAACAAAUGUGAAUGACGGACAGAUUUAGCAAGAUGAAAGAUUUAAGCCUACAAGCACGCUACUGUUUCUCACAUCAAAGGUACAUUGUUAAUUAUGAACAUCAAUAGUAAA